This 611-nucleotide ribosomal RNA is filed under the name Trioza frangulae. Its description in RNAcentral is "16S ribosomal RNA". It matches the Rfam family "Bacterial large subunit ribosomal RNA", at positions 1696 to 2700 of the family's 2925-position model. Lineage: Eukaryota; Metazoa; Arthropoda; Insecta; Hemiptera; Triozidae. The record is from RNAcentral.
AAAAUAAUAAUUAAGAACUCGGCAAACUUAAUUUUCGGCUGUUUAUCAAAAACAUUUCUGUGAGAAAUAUAUUUUUGGUAUCACCUGCUCAAUGCUUUUUAGUAAAUAGCUGCAGUAUUUUGACUGUACAAAGGUAGCAUAGUCAUUAGUCUUUUUAUUGGAGGCUUGUAUGAAUGGUGGAACGUAAAAUUAACUUUUUUAUUUUUAUGAAUUUUGAAUUUAAUUUUUAAGUAAAAAAGCUUAAUUAAUUAAGAGGGACGAUAAGACCCUAUAGAAUUUGAAAAUGAAUUUGGUAAAGUUAUUUUUUGGUUGGGGUGACUAGAAAGUAACUUUUCUUUUUUUAUUACUGAUGAGUAAUUUAAGGAUCUUAAAAUUUAGAUAAAAAGAUUAAAUUACCUUAGGGAUAACAGCAUAAUUUUUCUUUAAAGAUCAUAUUUGUAGAAAAGAUUAUGACCUCGAUGUUGAAUUAAAAUUAUAUUUAGGUGUAGAUAUUUAAGUAUUAAGUCUGUUCGACUUUCAAUUUUUACAUGAUUUGAGUUCAAACCGGCGUGAGCCAGGUUGGUUUCUAUCUUCUUAUUUAAUUUUAAUUUAGUACGAAAGGAUUGAUUAAA